Molecule: long non-coding RNA, 1708 nt
Filed under: Apteryx owenii (little spotted kiwi)
Lineage: Eukaryota; Metazoa; Chordata; Aves; Apterygiformes; Apterygidae
Description: lncRNA (ENSAOWG00000015768.1)
Source: RNAcentral
AAGAAAAAAAGCAACUGCUCCACUGCUCCCUGCUUCCUCUCUGAACUCAUAGCCCAGGGCACCAGGCACGAAAUAGGGGAGGGAACAGGUAUUGCUCAGCACAGCAAACCCUUCUGGCAUCACACUCAGGCUGCAACUGCAGCACUGGCAGUUAGUUGCAGCCUCCAGUUUUUGCCUCAGAGGGGUUUUUUAAGAGGGAAAGUGUUAGUGAAUGUAGAAAGUUGCAGAGUCAGAAAAACCACAAGGUUUACAAGUGAUCUGAGUGUCCUUGAGAAGAACAACAGAAAAGCAAUACGGAAGCACAGCUCUGGAGCUGACUGGGGCACCUGGACCUUUCUCACCUCUCCUUUUGUUCUUGCACUGCUGGGAAAGAUGGAUGGAUGUAUGCUGACAGACUCAAUCCUGGGUGGGCUGGAGUGGCAGGUCUUUGGCAUGGCACAGAGCAGAUGGAGUUUAACAUGGAGUUCAGCAGAUGGACACAAACAUCUUGAGGAAAGGAGCAGCCGCUUUAGGGCUUGAUGCAAGCCAACAGAAAUGAAUGGAAAACCUCCAAUUGCCUUGAAUCAGGCCCCUUUGUCAAGAACAUGAGCACAAAGGCAGAGGUCAGGUACAGGAAUUUUGUGGGGGUCUUGGUGUUGGGUUCAGAAUGCACCUGGGAGCAAGAAGCAGGUUUGGUUCAGCUUUGCACCCUUGGAAAGCCACCAACUGCCACACGUUCUUAAAACAGCAACCAGGAACAUCAGAAGCAGAGAACAGUGCUGUAAUGCAGGCAGUCCUGGGCGGGAAAAAGUAAAUGUUUAACAGAUCAGAGGAACGUUAGACAUGUUUAACUCCAAAAAUGAAGAACAACUGCAUCCUUGCCAGAACAAGAACAGAGAAAACAUUUUAACAACUGACCUGGAAAAAGCAACUACGGUUGAGACAUAACCUAUUGCAUUGUCUCUCUCAGGAAUGACCAACAUCACAUUCAGGUGGCAUGAAAAUUGCUUUGUAACCCCCCUCUUUUUACUUCUAUAUAAAUACACUGCUUGUAGUGCUUCCCACUUACACUUCAUCUGUUAUUAACAGCAACUGUGGAAAUCCUUGAAGCCUCCCUCAGCAGACACUAAACAGGGAUUUGAAUUAAGAUCCUGCUGCAGAAAACAUCUUUGCACUUUUAAGUCCUGUACCAUGGUGAAAAUUUUGCAAAUCACUAAGGGAGUCUGAAGGUGCUCCCAGACUCUCCCUUCUCCUUCUCCACCAGUUAUGCUGUUUCGGAGAGAUUUUUCACAGUGCACCACAUAUGUGGGUCUUCAGUAUUUACCUUAGAGAAACAGUUGUGGUUUUCACGCAAUGCGUUCUAAAGCAUGCUGGCGCUUUAAUAACUGAAUGCCACAUUAGCUCCACUUUUCCUUAGAAGGAAGUGAUAAAAUAGCUAAUUUAUACUGUCUCUUAAAUGCACAAUGCAAAGUCACUGUGUUUUUUCCUGUUCUGUGGGAUGGUGAGGCAUGAAAAGUUGACUAUUGUUGCGUACAUGACGCUGUUCCCCUAUUUUUCCUGCAUGUGCAGGAAAAUGGAGACUGUCUUUACUAGAAGUGUUUAUGGAGCAGGAAUGCUGAGGUGAACUGAAACUGCAGAGCAAGUUGCCUGGCCUGAAACAUGAGCAGGAUACCAGCAGCAUAACUUUGGUGGUCUCAAAAAUAAAAUAAAGUGCUAUUUUAACUGAUCA